This 448-nucleotide ribosomal RNA is filed under the name uncultured bacterium. Its description in RNAcentral is "bacterial SSU rRNA". It matches the Rfam family "Bacterial small subunit ribosomal RNA", at positions 328 to 793 of the family's 1533-position model. The record is from RNAcentral.
CGGCCAGACUCCUACGGGAGGCAGCAGUGGGGGAUAUUGCACAAUGGGGGGAACCCUGAUGCAGCGACGCCGCGUGGGUGAAGAAGCGCCUCGGCGCGUAAAGCCCUGUCAGCAGGGAAGAAAAUGACGGUACCUGAUUAAGAAGCCCCGACUAACUACGUGCCAGCAGCCGCGGUAAUACGUAGGGGGCAAGCGUUAUCCGGAUUUACUGGGUGUAAAGGGAGCGUAGACGGCAGCGCAAGUCUGGAGUGAAAUGCCGGGGCCCAACCCCGGAACUGCUUUGGAAACUGUGCAGCUCGAGUGCAGGAGAGGUAAGCGGAAUUCCUAGUGUAGCGGUGAAAUGCGUAGAUAUUAGGAGGAACACCAGUGGCGAAGGCGGCCUACUGGACGGUGACUGACGCUGAGGCUCGAAAGCGUGGGGAGCAAACAGGAUUAGAUACCCCCGUAU